Molecule: ribosomal RNA, 253 nt
Filed under: uncultured bacterium
Lineage: Bacteria
Description: partial 16S ribosomal RNA
Rfam family: Bacterial small subunit ribosomal RNA
Source: RNAcentral
UACAGAGGUCUCAAGCGUUGUUCGGAUUCAUUGGGCGUAAAGGGCGCGUAGGCGGGCUCUUAAGUCAGGGGUGAAAGCCCAAGGCUCAACCUUGGAAUUGCCUUUGAUACUGAGGGCCUUGAGACCGGAAGAGGUCGGCGGAACUGCGAGUGUAGAGGUGAAAUUCGUAGAUAUUCGGAAGAACACCAGUGGCGAAGGCGGCUCACUGGACCGGUAUUGACGCUGAGGUGCGAAAGCGUGGGGAGCGAACAGG